GAUGAACGCUGGCAGAAUGCUUAACACAUGCGAGUCAACUUGAACUUCGGUUUGGGUGGCGGACGGGUGAGUAACGCGUACAGAACUUGCCUCACAGCUAGGGACAACAUUUGGAAACGAAUGCUAAUACCUGAUAUUAUGAUUAUAUGGCAUCGUAUAAUUAUGAAAGCUAUAUGCGCUGUGAGAGAGCUUUGCGUCCCAUUAGCUAGUUGGAGAGGUAACAGCUCACCAAGGCGAUGAUGGGUAGCCGGCCUGAGAGGGUGAUCGGCCACAAGGGGACUGAGACACGGCCCAGACGCCUACGGGAGGCAGCAGUGGGGAAUAUUGUACAAUGGACAGAGAGUGUGAUCGAGCAAUUCUGUGUGCACGAUGAAGUUUUUCGGAAUGUAAAGUGCUUUCAGUUGGGAAGAAAAAAAUGACGGUACCAACAGAAGAAGUGACGGCUAAAUACGUG
Molecule: ribosomal RNA, 454 nt
Filed under: uncultured bacterium
Lineage: Bacteria
Description: partial 16S ribosomal RNA
Rfam family: Bacterial small subunit ribosomal RNA
Source: RNAcentral